RNAcentral lists this ribosomal RNA (253 nucleotides) under uncultured bacterium. RNAcentral's name for it is "partial 16S ribosomal RNA". It matches the Rfam family "Bacterial small subunit ribosomal RNA", at positions 524 to 776 of the family's 1533-position model. The record is from RNAcentral.
UACGUACUGUGCGAACGUUAUUCGGAAUCACUGGGCUUAAAGGGUGCGUAGGCGGUCAUUUAAGUAGGGUGUGAAAUACCUCGGCUCAACCGAGGAAUUGCGCUCUAAACUGGAUGGCUUGAGUGAGAUAGGGGUGUGCGGAACUUCCAGUGGAGCGGUGAAAUGUGUUGAUAUUGGAAGGAACGCCGGUGGCGAAAGCGGCACACUGGGUCUUAACUGACGCUGAGGCACGAAAGCUAGGGUAGCGAACGGG